AUCAUCUUAGCUUCAAUGUCUUUUGAGAGCAACACAGGCUUCUCUGUGGCGGGCAGCUUAGCCUGCUCGGCCAGAGUUGCAUUCUUCCAGGCCCAGGUCUCAUUGAUGACUUUCUCUAACGUUGUCAUCUCCACCUCAGUGAAGAUCUGGUCCAUCUCUGGGAUGAGCCGGGCCCCCUUGAGGAACAUGCUGGAAUGGUUGAGGAGAUUAUCGAGGGCAGACAGCCG
Molecule: unclassified non-coding RNA, 227 nt
Filed under: Hevea brasiliensis (rubber tree)
Lineage: Eukaryota; Viridiplantae; Streptophyta; Magnoliopsida; Malpighiales; Euphorbiaceae
Source: RNAcentral